RNAcentral lists this ribosomal RNA (1559 nucleotides) under Orbilia ovalis. Its description in RNAcentral is "eukaryotic LSU rRNA". The stretch from base 926 to 1559 matches the Rfam family "Eukaryotic large subunit ribosomal RNA", at positions 1 to 648 of the family's 3401-position model. The record is from RNAcentral. Lineage: Eukaryota; Fungi; Ascomycota; Orbiliomycetes; Orbiliales; Orbiliaceae.
CCUUAGAUGUUCUGGGCCGCACGCGCGCUACACUGACAGAGCCAACGAGUAUAAACCUUAACCGAGAGGUUUGGGUAAUCUUGUUAAACUCUGUCGUGCUGGGGAUAGAGCAUUGCAAUUAUUGCUCUUCAACGAGGAAUAUCUAGUAAGCGCAAGUCAUCAGCUUGCGUUGAUUACGUCCCUGCCCUUUGUACACACCGCCCGUCGCUACUACCGAUUGAAUGGCUCAGUGAGGCCUUCGGACUGGCUCAAGGAGGUCGGCAACGACUUCCCAGAGCCGGAAAGUUGGUCAAACUUGGUCAUUUAGAGGAAGUAAAAGUCGUAACAAGGUUUCCGUAGGUGAACCUGCGGAAGGAUCAUUAAUAAAAUGAAAAAAAGUAUCUUGGUGGGCUAAACACCCCCGAGGUCCUUUGCUCCGGGCUUCGGUCCUAGGCAAAGUUACACCCUUUGUGAACCAUAAAAACCUUUUCGCUUCGGUAGCAUGCCGGCUGAACCUUUCCGGUUCUACCGCGCAGUCAGCCUGCCGGCAGCACACCAUAUAAACCUGGCUUUAAACUUUGCAGUCUGAAAACAAAUUUUUGAAUUAAAUCAAAACUUUCAACAACGGAUCUCUUGGUUCUCGCAUCGAUGAAGAACGCAGCGAAACGCGAUAGUUAAUGUGAAUUGCAGAAUUCAGUGAAUCAUCGAAUCUUUGAACGCACAUUGCGCCCCCUGGUAUUCCGGCGGGCAUGUCUGUUUGAGCGUCAUUUCAACACCUCGUCCGUUGGCUUUUGUCAGCGACGGUCAUGGGCUUGGUUGGCAACAACCGGCCUUAAAGUUGAACGCUCUGCGGGUGACUUAUGCCAAACCGAACAUAGUAAUCUCCAUUUCUUGUUCCGUUCAGCUAUGUCAGUUUCGCCUGAACAAUAAACCAAAUCAUAAGGUUUGACCUCAGAUCAGACAAGGAUACCCGCUGAACUUAAGCAUAUCAAUAAGCGGAGGAAAAGAAACCAACAGGGAUUGCCUCAGUAACGGCGAGUGAAGCGGCAACAGCUCAAAUUUGAAAUCUGAAGUUUUUAACUUUCGAGUUGUAAUUUGAAGAGGACGCUUCGGUUGUGGCCCUGGCCUAUGUUCCUUGGAACAGGACGUCGUAGAGGGUGAGAAUCCCGUACACGGCUGACGGCUUACUUCCAUGUGUAGCUCCUUCGAAGAGUCGAGUUGUUUGGGAAUGCAGCUCUAAAUGGGUGGUAAAUUUCAUCUAAAGCUAAAUACUGGCGAGAGACCGAUAGCGCACAAGUAGAGUGAUCGAAAGAUGAAAAGCACUUUGAAAAGAGAGUUAAACAGUACGUGAAAUUGUUGAAAGGGAAGCGCUUGCAACCAGACUUGCUUUCAGUUGAUCAACGUUCCUUUUGGUUCGUGCACUCUGCUGUUCGCAGGCCAGCAUCGGUUGACGGCGGUGGGACAAAGACUCCGGGAAUGUGGCUUUCUUCGGGAAGUGUUAUAGCCCGGUGUGCAAUGCCACCUGCUUCGAUCGAGGACCGCGCUUUUGCUAGGAUGCUGGCUUAAUGGUUGUAAGCAAC